GAGGUUGUAGCUCAGUUAUUGAGCGCUUGCCUUGAAUGCAUGAGGCACUGGGUUCGAUCCUCAGCACCACA
Molecule: transfer RNA, 71 nt
Filed under: Marmota monax (woodchuck)
Lineage: Eukaryota; Metazoa; Chordata; Mammalia; Rodentia; Sciuridae
Description: tRNA.Ser
Rfam family: tRNA
About the family: Transfer RNA (tRNA) molecules are approximately 80 nucleotides in length. Their secondary structure includes four short double-helical elements and three loops (D, anti-codon, and T loops). Further hydrogen bonds mediate the characteristic L-shaped molecular structure. tRNAs have two regions of fundamental functional importance: the anti-codon, which is responsible for specific mRNA codon recognition, and the 3' end, to which the tRNAs corresponding amino acid is attached (by aminoacyl-tRNA synthetases). tRNAs cope with the degeneracy of the genetic code in two manners: having more than one tRNA (with a specific anti-codon) for a particular amino acid; and 'wobble' base-pairing, i.e. permitting non-standard base-pairing at the 3rd anti-codon position.
Source: RNAcentral